UGCUCAAGAAGGACAUUGUCAUCCACCUUAUUGAUCAAGUGCUCAUGCCAGACUCAGCUAAACAGGUGAUGGAACUGGUUGGAAGUUCCCAGUCAACCUUUGGAGACACGGUGUCUGAGCUAGGCCUUUCUGCUUCCAUGCAAUCUGCCGCUGAGUACACUUUGCUUGCCCCCCUCAACACUGUCUUCAAUGGUGGAUCUGUGAAAUGAAACACCUCUUCCCAAAGCGUGACUUCCC
Molecule: long non-coding RNA, 237 nt
Organism: Gymnodraco acuticeps
Lineage: Eukaryota; Metazoa; Chordata; Actinopteri; Perciformes; Bathydraconidae
Exons: 3
Source: RefSeq, a predicted model, not a curated record